Gopherus evgoodei (Goodes thornscrub tortoise) is the source of this 1592-nucleotide long non-coding RNA. RefSeq lists it as uncharacterized. The record is from RefSeq and is a predicted model, not a curated record. NCBI's taxonomy places the organism in Eukaryota, Metazoa, Chordata, Testudines, Testudinidae. The transcript is spliced from 5 exons.
CGGAGCUGCCGGCUGUGGGGCAGCAGUCUGGCAGCUCCUCCGUCUCAAGGACUCUGCUUUUGGCUGGAGCUGGGGCAUGGAGAGGGCCUUUUCCUUUCAUGCUGAUUCAUGCAUUCAAGCCUCAUGCUGGAAGAAAGGAGGGGGUGGAGCUCAGCACUUGGAACAAAGUUCAGACAUGAAGGGGCCGGCAGACUGGGCUGGAAUUUAUACCAUAUGUACCAGGCAUGAGUGGAAUGUUUGGCAUCUUGGCUGAGCCAGAGCAGCCUGUACGGAAGAGUUGGGCCUUACUCUGUGAUCACCGCAGCUUGCACGAUAGCAGCCUUGUGCUCUGCUGCCUGCGCUGCUGGCUAACUAGCACCAGUUCUUCAGUGGCAAGCUUUACGUCCGUCUAGUAGCUAAAGCUGCCAGUUGAAGAACUGUUGAAUGUAGCCACUCUCGUCUUGUCACUUGGGUUGUCUGAUGUCAGCUGGAUGCACCCAUUGGGAGAGCAGGAUGGGGCUGAUGUGCCUCAGUCUCUGAAUCCUGGCACCCUAUAGUUUUAAUAUUGAACCUCAAAAGGAAGCUUUUCUAUAAACCAAGGAGACUGUUGAAAGAUCUGUCAAUCUUCUUCUCUAGUGGCCUGUUCCUCCCUCCUGUGCAUGCCCCUGCCCCUGCCCCAGCAUGCAGAAGCUGGAUGGACAGCAGCCCUGUUGUGCACACCCUUGGAAGGGUGGCGUGGAGCGUGCCCCCUGCGGUACUGCCAAGCACCAUCCCAAGAGGUGCAUACAGGCUGUUCCCCCGAGCACCAUGGACAUUGCUGCUGCAUUCUGCAAGGAAGAGUAAGAUGUUGGCAAUACACCGGCUGGGUCUGGCUCUGACUUGCCAAGAGUUCCAAGCUAAUUGGGCUGCGGAUUCACUCACUUGAUGUAAAAGACCAAGAACUUCAGCUGCUCCAGACUUCCCUUCACAACAGUCUCUGUGUAUCCUUUCCCAUAGCCUGCAAACACAGAAGAUGCAGUGGGGUCUGGGCAGCUGCCACCAUGCCCCUUAAGCUCAAAUAACUGCAGAAACCCCGGCAGAUAGCUGUGCCACUGGCCCACUAGGGUUCUCUGCGUAUCACCCCACCUCUCCAAGUGGGUCCUGUGGAUCAGAGAGCUAGCAUCUCCUACAGCUGAUGGAAGAACGGCCACACUGCCUUCUGGGCCCCCAGUCUGUGCUCAGUACAUAAGGUGGGACUAUUAGCUUGGGGGAGACAUGACCAUGUGUGGCAUGCAAAUCGGCCAGAACUGAGAUGGGAUGAGACAAGACCAGUGUGGCUAGGGAGGGAUGGCUGGGAAUAGCCCAUGUGUGUGCACAUGGGGCACAGCUGUCCAAGCUGGUGUGCUGUGUGCAAGGUGGCUAGGGAGGGGUAAGUGUUGUGUCUCGGGCACAGAGUAGGCAGGAGGUUUGCACUCGCUGUGUGACUGCGUGUGCAGCACUCAAGGUCAGUGUAGGGCUUCCACACCACUUGGAUCUGUGUGCAUUCUCUGUCCACUAUUAACUAUACCUGGGUAGGCAACCUAUGGCACGCAUGCCUUCAGCGGCACUCACACUGCCUGGGUCCUGGCCACUGG